This 497-nucleotide ribosomal RNA is filed under the name uncultured bacterium. RNAcentral's name for it is "partial 16S ribosomal RNA". It matches the Rfam family "Bacterial small subunit ribosomal RNA", at positions 28 to 507 of the family's 1533-position model. The record is from RNAcentral.
GAUGAACGCUGGCGGCGUGCCUAAUACAUGCAAGUCGAGCGAACAGAUGAGGAGCUUACUCCUCUGACGUUAGCGGCGGACGGGUGAGUAACACGUGGAUAACCUACCUAUAAGACUGGGAUAACUUCGGGAAACCGGAGCUAAUACCGGAUAACAUGUUGAACCGCAUGGUUCAACAGUGAUAGACGGUCUUGCUGUCACUUAUAGAUGGAUCCGCGUCGCAUUAGCUAGUUGGUAAGGUAACGGCUUACCAAGGCGACGAUGCGUAGCCGACCUGAGAGGAUGAUCCGCCACACUGGAACUGAGACACGGUCAAGAGGCCUAGGGGAGGCAGAAGUGGGGAAGAUUGGACAAUGGGCGCAAGCCGGAGCCAGCAAUAACGGGUGGGUGAAAAAGGUCUUCGGGUUGUAGAGCCCUUUUGUUGGGAAAGAAAAGAAGCAGGUUAAUACCCCGCUGUUCUGACGGGCCCAAAAGAAUAAGCACCGGCUAACUUCGUG